GACGAACGCUGGCGGCGUGCCUAAUACAUGCAAGUAGAACGCAGUUGCGAACGGGUGAGUAACGCGUAUGUAACUGCCUCAUAGCGGGGGAUAACUAUUGGAAACGAUAGCUAAUACCGCAUACUGUGAGAUGGACCUGCGUUGUAUUAGCUAGUUGGUGAGGUAAAGGCUCACCAAGGCGACGAUACAUAGCCGGGCUGAGAAGGUGAGCGGGCACAACUGGACUGGGAAACCGGCCAGACCCCUAAGGGAGGGAGCAGUAGGGGAUCAUCGGAAAAGGACGGAAGGCCGAACGAGCAAAGCCGCGGGAGUGAAGAAGGGUUUCGGAUCGGAAAGGUCUGUUGUUAGAGAAGCGGUAACUAAACAGAAAGGGACGGCUAACUACGUGCCAGCAGCCGCGGUAAUAC
RNAcentral lists this ribosomal RNA (407 nucleotides) under uncultured bacterium. Its description in RNAcentral is "partial 16S ribosomal RNA". It matches the Rfam family "Bacterial small subunit ribosomal RNA", at positions 28 to 526 of the family's 1533-position model. The record is from RNAcentral.